CGACCUGUUGCGGGGAGAUGAAGUGGAUAUGCACGUCGAGCCCGCCGGCGGUCACGAUGCGGCCCUCGCCGGCGAUCGCUUCCGUGCCCGGGCCGAUGACGAUAUCGACAUCGGGCUGCACGUCCGGAUUGCCGGCCUUGCCGAUCGCCGCGAUCUUGCCGUCCUUGAGGCCGAUAUCCGCCUUGAUGAUUCCCCAAUAGUCGAGGAUCAUCGCGUUGGUGAUAACCGUGUCCACGGCGCCUUCGCUGCGGCUGCGCUGCGACUGGCCCAUGCCGUCGCG
This 280-nucleotide small RNA is filed under the name marine eukaryotic metagenome. RNAcentral's name for it is "5' ureB small RNA". It matches the Rfam family "5' ureB small RNA". The record is from RNAcentral.